AAAUGUGUCUCAACAAAGUAUUGGUAAUAUUACACAUAUUUUUCGUACAGAAAGUUGUGACGCAAUCGCUGCAAAAUUGGCCCAAUUUUUCAUUAAGAAGACCUACAUAUCCUUCAUACCAGAGUUCUUUAGUACCUAUACUUAGAAAUGGUUUAAAACAGGCAAUAGAAGAUAACAUAAUGCUGUCAAAUGGAUCACCAUUCCCCUCAAUACGAUUCAAUAGCUCGCCAUUCUCCAAUGCAUUACAGCCAGGGCGAGGCUGGUCAAGCUUCUUAAGAAAUGAUAUACCAGUUAUAAGUCGUAUGCCUUUCGAAUAUGAGCCUGUUAUGUCUGGCCUUUACAAUGUAAAUCAGGGCGUAGGUAGGCCAGGCCCUUUGAGUCCUCUGCAAACUUUGACCUUAAAUAAUCUUUUAGCAAAUGUACCGUGUAGUAGGAUAGGUUUUAUUGACGAAGAGACCCAUGUAGCGGGCUUUUCUUUGCCAUCAACAUAUACAGUAAUAAAAAAUCCAAUCGUACAAACAAACAGUUUAGGAAAUCUUUACAAGCUAUCAAACUAUCUGUCUCUCCAAUAAACAACAGAAAAUUUGG
Molecule: long non-coding RNA, 588 nt
Organism: Pieris brassicae (large cabbage white)
Lineage: Eukaryota; Metazoa; Arthropoda; Insecta; Lepidoptera; Pieridae
Exons: 2
Source: RefSeq, a predicted model, not a curated record